AACUAUGUUUGGCAGCUAAUGACAGAUUUUAAGAAAAAUAAUUCUAUGACAGUAGGAGCCCAAAGGACAAUUGUACAAAAGACAAGAAGAACUACAUUCCCCCUUUGAAGGACCACAAAACCAGAGGCAACCAGCACCAGCUAAAACAACCAAAGAGAAAAAUCUAUGUCUGGAUAUUUGGCUUGAGACAAUUGUGGAUUAGAAGAGAGAAAAGGGAUCGAGCAGUUUAGAUGUCCUGGAAGUCUUUCUAGUGGCAAAGAAAUUUCCAUUGAUCAUGUCACAGGAUAAAGAUCUGGACAAAGAAAUGUAACAGGUUCUAUUGCUAUGGAAGUUACCACAACAUUCUCACCUUUUGGAGAUGAAGCAGAGAGGUGGAAAGCACUCAACCCUCUGGGAGUUGAAAAUAUACAGUAUGCAGUAAUAGAUGCUGGAAGUCCAAGAAUCUACAAUACCCAAACUACGGUCUGGUAAAGUCAAAGAGAGCGUUUUCAUUGGGCCAUUAUUGAAAAUUUAUACAUUCAUGUGGAUUACAAAUAAAAAGCAGGAAGAGGGCCUUCCUUCUUGUUAAACAUCUUACGGUCUAUGGGUUGUAUCAUGGUUAUUCUGCACAUUUUGGCUAUUAUCUACUUAUCAGUGAAUACAGGCUAUGUAUAUCCUUUUGGGUCUGGG
This 669-nucleotide long non-coding RNA is filed under the name Rattus norvegicus (Norway rat). RNAcentral's name for it is "long non-coding RNA NONRATT033612". Lineage: Eukaryota; Metazoa; Chordata; Mammalia; Rodentia; Muridae. The record is from RNAcentral.